ACCAGACUCCUACGGGAGGCAGCAGUGGGGGAUAUUGCACAAUGGGGGGAACCCUGAUGCAGCGACGCCGCGUGGGUGAAGAAGCGCCUCGGCGCGUAAAGCCCUGUCAGCAGGGAAGAAAAUGACGGUACCUGAAGAAGAAGCCCCGGCUAACUACGUGCCAGCAGCCGCGGUAAUACGUAGGGGGCAAGCGUUAUCCGGAUUUACUGGGUGUAAAGGGGGCGCAGACGGCGAUGCAAGCCAGGAGUGAAAGCCCGGGGCCCAACCCCGGGACUGCUCUUGGAACUGCGUGGCUGGAGUGCAGGAGGGGCAGGCGGAAUUCCUGGUGUAGCGGUGAAAUGCGUAGAUAUCAGGAGGAACACCGGCGGCGAGGGCGGCCUGCUGGACCGUGACUGACGUUGAGGCUCGAGAGCGUGGGGAGCAAACAGGAUUAGAUACCCCUGUAUC
This 447-nucleotide ribosomal RNA is filed under the name uncultured bacterium. RNAcentral's name for it is "bacterial SSU rRNA". It matches the Rfam family "Bacterial small subunit ribosomal RNA", at positions 330 to 794 of the family's 1533-position model. The record is from RNAcentral.